AUUGAACGCUGGCGGCAGGCCUAACACAUGCAAGUCGAGCGAGCGGCGGAUGGGUGAGUAAUGACUGGGAAACUGCCUGACGGAGGGGGACAACUACUGGAAACGGUAGCUAAUACCGCAUACCAUCAGAUGUGCCCAGAUGGGAUUAGCUAGUAGGUGGGGUAACGGCUCACCUAGGCGACGAACCCUAGCUGGUCUGAGAGGAGAACCAGCCACAAAGGAACUGAGAAACGGUCCAGACUCCACAGGAAGGCGGCAGUAGGAAUUAUUGCACAAUGGGAGCAAUCCUUAUGCAGAAGUUACUGAGUUGUGAAGAAGGCCUUCGGGUUGAAAAGCACUUGCAGCGGAGAGGGGUUACCCGCAGGAGAAGCACCGGCUAACUCCGUGCCAGCAGCCGCGGUAAUAC
Molecule: ribosomal RNA, 406 nt
Filed under: uncultured bacterium
Lineage: Bacteria
Description: partial 16S ribosomal RNA
Rfam family: Bacterial small subunit ribosomal RNA
Source: RNAcentral